RNAcentral lists this ribosomal RNA (491 nucleotides) under uncultured bacterium. Its description in RNAcentral is "partial 16S ribosomal RNA". It matches the Rfam family "Bacterial small subunit ribosomal RNA", at positions 29 to 507 of the family's 1533-position model. The record is from RNAcentral.
AGUGAACGCUGGCGGUAGGCCUAACACAUGCAAGUCGAACGGCAGCACAGUAAGAGCUUGCUCUUACGGGUGGCGAGUGGCGGACGGGUGAGGAAUACAUCGGAAUCUACUUUUUCGUGGGGGAUAACGUAGGGAAACUUACGCUAAUACCGCAUACGACCUACGGGUGAAAGCAGGGGAUCUUCGGACCUUGCGCGAUUGAAUGAGCCGAUGUCGGAUUAGCUAGUUGGCGGGGUAAAGGCCCACCAAGGCACGAUCCGUAGCUGGUCUGAGAGGAUGAUCAGCCACACUGGAACUGAGACACGGUCCAGACUCCUACGGGAGGCAGCAGUGGGGAAUAUUGGACAAUGGGCGCAAGCCUGAUCCAGCCAUACCGCGUGGGUGAAGAAGGCCUUCGGGUUGUAAAGCCCUUUUGUUGGGAAAGAAAAGCAGCAGGUUAAUACCCCGCUGUUCUGACGGUACCCAAAGAAUAAGCACCGGCUAACUUCGUG